UACAGAGGGUGCAAGCGUUAUUCGGAAUUAUUGGGCAUAAAGCGCAUGUAGGUGGUUUGAUAAGUCUGAUGUGAAAGCCCCGGACUCAAUUCGGGAAGUGCAUUGGAUACUGUCAGGCUAGAGUAUGGGAGAGGUGAGCGGAAUUCCAGGUGUAGAGGUGAAAUUCGUAGAUAUCUGGAGGAACAACAGAGGCGAAGGCGGCUCACUGGACCAUUGCUGACACUGAGAUGCGAAAGCGUGGGGAGCAAACAGG
This 253-nucleotide ribosomal RNA is filed under the name uncultured bacterium. Its description in RNAcentral is "partial 16S ribosomal RNA". It matches the Rfam family "Bacterial small subunit ribosomal RNA", at positions 524 to 776 of the family's 1533-position model. The record is from RNAcentral.